GGAAGGAUCAUUACAGAGUUCAUGCCCUUACGGGUAGAUCUCCCACCCUUGAAUUAUACUACAUUGUUGCUUUGGCAGCCGUCACACGCUGCCAGAGGAUAAACCAAACUCUUUUUAAUAUGUCGUCUGAGUAUUAUAUAAUAGUUAAAACUUUCAACAACGGAUCUCUUGGUUCUGGCAUCGAUGAAGAACGCAGCGAAAUGCGAUAAGUAAUGUGAAUUGCAGAAUUCAGUGAAUCAUCGAAUCUUUGAACGCACAUUGCGCCCCUUGGUAUUCCGGGGGGCAUGCCUGUUCGAGCGUCAUUAUAACCCUCAAGCCUAGCUUGGUGUUGGAGCAUGUCUUUAGGCAGCUCUUAAAAUCAGUGGCAGUGCCUCUCGGCUCUAAGCGUAGUAAUACUCCUCGCUAUAGUGUCCGUUAGGUCCGCGCCAGAACCCCUAAUUUUUCUAUGGUUGACCUCGGAUCAGGUAGGGAUACCCGCUGAACUUAAGCAUAUCAAUAAGCGGAGGAAAAGAAACCAACAGGGAUUACCUCAGUAACGGCGAGUGAAGCGGUAAUAGCUCAAAUUUGAAAUCUGGCUCUUUAGGGUCCGCAGUUGUAAUUUGUAGAGAUGCUUUGGGUGUAGGCUCCGGUCUAAGUUCCUUGGAACAGGACGUCAUAGAGGGUGAGAAUCCCGUAUGUGACUGGAUAGCCUUACGCCGUGUAAAGCUCCUUUCGACGAGUCGAGUUGUUUGGGAAUGCAGCUCUAAAUGGGUGGUAAAUUUCAUCUAAAGCUAAAUAUUGGCGAGAGACCGAUAGCGCACAAGUAGAGUGAUCGAAAGAUGAAAAGCACUUUGGAAAGAGAGUUAAACAGUACGUGAAAUUGUUGAAAGGGAAGCGCUUGCAACCAGACUUGCGGUUUAAAUCUGGUUCUCACCAGUGCACUUCUGACCGCGUUACUCAGUUGGCCAGCAUCGGUUUCGGUGGCUGGAUAAAGGCCUUGGGAAUGUAGGCCUUCCUUCGGGGAGGUGUUAUAGCCCUCGGUGCAAUGCAGGCCUAGCCGGGACUGAGGACCGCGCUUCGGCUAGGAUGCUGGCGUAAUGGUUGUAAGCGACCCGUCUUGAAACACGGACCAAGGAGUCUAACAUCUAUGCGAGUGUUUGGGUGUCAAACCCAUACGCGUAAUGAAAGUGAACGGAGGUGAGAACCCUAAGGGUGCAUCAUCGACCGAUCCUGAUGUCUUCGGAUGGAUUUGAGUAAGAGCAUAGCUGUUGGGACCCGAAAGAUGGUGAACUAUGCGUGAAUAGGGUGAAGCCAGAGGAAACUCUGGUGGAGGCUCGCAGCGGUUCUGACGUGCAAAUCGAUCGUCAAAUUUGGGCAUAGGGGCGAAAGACUAAUCGAACCAUCUAGUUAGCUGGUUCCUGC
RNAcentral lists this unclassified non-coding RNA (1401 nucleotides) under uncultured fungus. Its description in RNAcentral is "sequence contains 18S rRNA gene, ITS1, 5.8S rRNA gene, ITS2, 28S rRNA gene". The stretch from base 451 to 1401 matches the Rfam family "Eukaryotic large subunit ribosomal RNA", at positions 1 to 961 of the family's 3401-position model. Lineage: Eukaryota; Fungi. The record is from RNAcentral.